UGUUGUAUCUGAGUGCCUCUGCAAAGACAGUGAUUAUGUAUGAGUGAGGUGAAUGAAAGUGUUGAUUGAUGAUGAAAGUAUUUUCUUUUUGGGGAUUUUCUUUUUUUUGGGUCACCCUGCCUCAGUGGAAGACGGCAUACUUGUUGAAAAAAAAAAAAUGUUAAAUUAGUGAAACAUCAUACACACGCUGUCUAUUAAUUUGUUUUUGUAUUUUCCAGGGUUCUUCGAAAGAAUAUACUGUAAAAUUACCGAGUAUACGUGGAGAGGGUUCCGGGGGUCAAUGCCCCUGCAGCCUGGUCUAUGACCAGGCCUCGUGGUGGAUAAGGGCCUGAUCAACCAGGCUGUUACUGUUGGCCACUCGCAACCCGACGUACAAACCACAGCCCGACUGGUCAGGCACUGACUUUAGG
Cherax quadricarinatus is the source of this 410-nucleotide non-coding RNA. NCBI's taxonomy places the organism in Eukaryota, Metazoa, Arthropoda, Malacostraca, Decapoda, Parastacidae. The record is from RefSeq and is a predicted model, not a curated record.